ACCUCAAUCCCCACUAUCCCCACCACCUCCGCGUCCGCCACGCCGUCGCCUCUGCCCCUCUCCCCAUCGCCACCUCCGCGUCGUCCUUGCCCUCUCCCUCGACGCCGGCUCUGCCGCGCCGUGCCGCCCUCACCGCGGCGCCGUCGCCCUCACCCCCGUCGUUGCCUUUCGCCGCGCCCUUGUCCUCCUGCCUGCCGGUUACCCCCGCCUGUUUGCCCCGUCGCCGCUUUGUGGCUCGCCGUCGGCCGCCUGCGCUCGUCGACCUGGGGCUCGCCGCCCCCCUCCCCGCGCGGACCGGCCCAGAGUUCGCGGCUCGCGCAGGCCGGCAGGCUCGCAGCCACAGGGGCCAGCCGGGUAGCAGGCUCCAGCCGCGCCAGCCACCUGCCGUGCGCGGCGCGCCCACGCCGCGCAGCGCGCAGGCCGCAGGGGCACCACCGCGCUACGCAGGCUGCAGGCACAUGUUCAUGGUAUGCGAUCAACCACAUCCCUUGCAUGUCAAGAACAUGGUGAAAAAAUGUGCUUGAUGGAAAGUUUGACGAGGCCUGCUCUGCACUAAAGCAAUUUAUGAUUUGGGAUACUCUCCUACUGACAUUAUCACUACUCUCUUCCGAGUUGUCAAGAACUAUGACAUGGCUGAAUAUUUGAAUAUGAAAAUGCUCAAGAUUUGCACAUAUGAGAAUCUGCACAUGAAACAAGAUUUGCACAUAUGAGAAUCUGCGAUGGAGUUGGGUCAUUCCUUCAGCUUUCUGGCCACUUGCAAAGUUUGCGCUGGUGAGAGAAACUACAACAGCUCCUUGAACAAAUCAUGUUGCCGGUGGUAAUAGGGUAUGUCGAGCUAUGCUGACAUGGUAACUUAGUUAUUUCUGUUAACACUACUGGCGUGCAUGUCUUGUGACUACAGCCGUCAUGUAUCUCAGUCUGUAAGAUAGUACCUUAUAAGUGAACAACUAUCGGUCUAUCAUGCUUAUCCAGUGUGAAACAUUCAGCUGCGUGCAUCCAUCCUUGUUUGCACAGAUUGUUUGCUGCUGUCUCAAA
This is a long non-coding RNA of Panicum virgatum (switchgrass), 1035 nucleotides long. RefSeq lists it as uncharacterized. Lineage: Eukaryota; Viridiplantae; Streptophyta; Magnoliopsida; Poales; Poaceae. The record is from RefSeq and is a predicted model, not a curated record. The transcript has 3 exons.